AUUGAACGCUGGCGGCAUGCCUUACACAUGCAAGUCGAACGGUAACGGGUCCUUCGGAUGCCGACGAGUGGCGAACGGGUGAGUAAUAUAUCGGAACGUGCCCAGUAGUGGGGGAUAACUGCUCGAAAGAGCAGCUAAUACCGCAUACGACCUGAGGGUGAAAGGGGGGGAUCGCAAGACCUCUCGCUAUUGGAGCGGCCGAUAUCAGAUUAGCUAGUUGGUGGGGUAAAGGCCUACCAAGGCAACGAUCUGUAGUUGGUCUGAGAGGACGACCAGCCACACUGGGACUGAGACACGGCCCAGACUCCUACGGGAGGCAGCGGUGGGGAAUUUUGGACAAUGGGCGCAAGCCUGAUCCAGCAAUGCCGCGUGCAGGAAGAAGGCCUCGGUU
RNAcentral lists this ribosomal RNA (391 nucleotides) under uncultured bacterium. RNAcentral's name for it is "bacterial SSU rRNA". It matches the Rfam family "Bacterial small subunit ribosomal RNA", at positions 30 to 424 of the family's 1533-position model. The record is from RNAcentral.